This 624-nucleotide long non-coding RNA is filed under the name Homo sapiens (human). RNAcentral describes it as "HSALNT0203738". The record is from RNAcentral. Lineage: Eukaryota; Metazoa; Chordata; Mammalia; Primates; Hominidae.
UGUGCUCAAGAAAUCCUCCAAUAGGCACAACAGGCCUUCAGAGUUCAAGGAGUGGACAUGCACCCUUAAGUAACCUGGUGGGGGACCCAUCACACUACAGAAGGAUUGGAGUGAUACAAGACAAAGGACAAGAAAACCUACCAACAGUGACUGGAAGCUGUAUCUUUGUGGUAGUUUCUAUUUGCCUAUCUACAUAACAUUUUUCAUUUGUGCCCUGGUACAUUGAAUAUGUGAGGGUGUUCUCUGUCAGAAAGUCAAAUGGCUUAGUCCUCAAAUACAGGUAUAAGUCUUAGCCCUUGAGUCCUUCCAGGUCACCAAUUUUGGCAAUGCAGGCUGCAUACUGCCCAGCUCCAAGGCCACCAUUCACAGAGACCACAAUGUCAGUGGUUCAACUGAAGUCAUCCAACAUGGUGACCCCAGGUACAACUAAAGAUGGAGAUGUUAUGAAGACAUCCUUGUCCUUGGAUGAUGAGGAGCUCUUCUUCAUCUCUUAUACUCUGAAUAGGAGUGGAGGAGGAACUUCUCUGCACCUGCUGAGGCCCUAAGUCCUACUGCAAGAGAACGUGAAGAUCUCUCUUAGCUUAAGGUGGAUGGUGCAUUGAGUCCUGGGUAUAGACAAUGGCU